This 432-nucleotide ribosomal RNA is filed under the name uncultured bacterium. RNAcentral's name for it is "partial 16S ribosomal RNA". It matches the Rfam family "Bacterial small subunit ribosomal RNA", at positions 354 to 796 of the family's 1533-position model. The record is from RNAcentral.
GUGGGGAAUAUUGCACAAUGGGCGCAAGCCUGAUGCAGUGACGCCGCGUGCGGGAUGACGGCCUUCGGGUUGUAAACCGCUUUUGAUCGGGAGCAAGCCUUCGGGUGAGUGUACCUUUCGAAUAAGCACCGGCUAACUACGUGCCAGCAGCCGCGGUAAUACGUAGGGUGCAAGCGUUAUCCGGAAUUAUUGGGCGUAAAGGGCUCGUAGGCGGUUCGUCGCGUCCGGUGUGAAAGUCCAUCGCUUAACGGUGGAUCUGCGCCGGGUACGGGCGGGCUGGAGUGCGGUAGGGGAGACUGGAAUUCCCGGUGUAACGGUGGAAUGUGUAGAUAUCGGGAAGAACACCAAUGGCGAAGGCAGGUCUCUGGGCCGUUACUGACGCUGAGGAGCGAAAGCGUGGGGAGCGAACAGGAUUAGAUACCCCAGUAGUCC